RNAcentral lists this ribosomal RNA (254 nucleotides) under uncultured bacterium. RNAcentral's name for it is "partial 16S ribosomal RNA". It matches the Rfam family "Bacterial small subunit ribosomal RNA", at positions 524 to 776 of the family's 1533-position model. The record is from RNAcentral.
AACGUAGGUGGCAAGCGUUAUCCGGAUUCACUGGGCGUAAAGCGCACGCAGGCGGCACGGUAGGUAGGGCAUGAAAGCCCCUGGCUUAACUGGGGGAAGCUGUCCUAUACCACCGCGCUUCGAGGACAGGAGAGGGACGUGGAACUGCCGGUGUAGUGGUGAAAUGCGUAGAGAUCGGCAAGAACACCAGUGGCGAAGGCGGCGUCCUGGCCUGGUCCUGACGCUCAAGUGCGAAAGCUAGGGGAGCGAACGGG